This 1457-nucleotide long non-coding RNA is filed under the name Toxoplasma gondii VEG. The record is from RNAcentral. Lineage: Eukaryota; Apicomplexa; Conoidasida; Eucoccidiorida; Sarcocystidae.
CCAGAGAAUAACACGGCAUUUUUGCGAUCACAUCAGUUUCUACCUCUUCGAAUAGGGAAGUGAGUGUUUCGACAUAUAGAGUUGCGGAAUAGUCUAUUGCUUCUGGAGGUAUAAAUAUCGGAACGGCCCCACGUAUACCCUUGCAUGCAUAUAUACAUAUAUACAUCCAUACUGAAGGGCUUGUGUAGCGAGUUUGCGGAGAAGACAAACCUGUCGUUUUCAGCUCGUAAGUCAGCAAGGAGCCUUUCCAGUGCGUCGACCUUCGAGCUUAGCUCAGCGUGACUCGCUUUGUGUUUUUCUCCUUGGGAGAUGAGCUGGUUGAUUUUUCGCUUGAGCUUUUCAUUUUCGUCAGUGAGGAACCGUGAAUGAUUCUGCGACAAAUGCAGAUCUUGUUCGUAGGUCUGGAUUUCCUUGGCUCUUGAUUCGAGCUCUUCUUGAAGCGUAAGAAGUCGGCUCUUUUGCAGUCGCACUGUCGCAGUUAAACUCUCGAGGUGGUCGCCACCCAAACCAUUGCCGAUAGCGCUGCUCCCUUGUUGAACGAGUCGCUUGUACUCUUCUUCAACUGUCGCUCCAUGCUGUCCCGAAGCGUAAGGAUCCCUCAGUACACUUUCCCUCAGGUGAACUUUCUUUGUCGGCGACCCCGUUACCUCUGUAACAGACGGAUGUUCCUGUCCAUAUCUUUUUAGCGACGCAGAUGGACGAGAGCAGGCGCUCUGCGCUCGCAGUUCGGUUACUCCAUCUGCAGGCUUCCCCGAAAGAGAUACCGGGCUUCUCUCGCCCGAAAUUCCCUCUGUGGAUUGUUGUCUUUGGCACGCAACUGCAGACUUCGGUCGGAGCGAGAUCGUUUUCGAGGGCGCGCCUGUCGCCAAAGAUUUCAGUUCUCUGACUUGCUCUUCUGCAUCGUGCAGAGAUUGGUGUUUCCUUCGUUCCAGUUCCUCAUUUAGUUGGAGGAGUUGUUGCUCCCGUAUUCGGAAGUGUUCAAAAGCCUCGGCGGACAAGCACCCGCAAGAGGCAGAGCUGUCGCGGAGUUCCUUCUCGUUACUCCUGGAUAGGGUUCCUGGGGUAUCCAUAUCUAAGACUUUACGUGAGCAGCAGAAAAUGACAGACAGGAACGCGUGAGAGCGGGAAAAGAAACGCGAGCAAAGCAGGAGAGAAAACAUAUGACCAGCGUGCGCGAAAGCUGCGUGUACCUGCGAAAGAAAGCAGUCACGGGUAAAUAGGAUAGUGCUGAGGAGGGAGGUGGGGAACAGGAAGAGAACAGAAAAACAGGAGAGCCAAGCUCCUGCGAAUACGCGAUUUUCUGCACCCCAACAAGAAAAUGGACAACACGACUGCGCUUGCUGUCCUUAUUUCUACGGCUCCCUGGUGGACGCUGAUCGUGUGUUCUUCAACCAGAACUGGGGGCUUCGAUAUUCUCAGACGGAAAAUCUCUGUCGUGGGACCCCUCGUUGGCAUGC